This 22-nucleotide small nuclear RNA is filed under the name Arabidopsis thaliana (thale cress). RNAcentral's name for it is "snRNA_10796". Lineage: Eukaryota; Viridiplantae; Streptophyta; Magnoliopsida; Brassicales; Brassicaceae. The record is from RNAcentral.
CCUCGAUCCAGACAACAUUCCC